GACGAACGCUGGCGGCGUGCUUAACACAUGCAAGUCGAACGGAAAGGCCCUGCUUUUGUGGGGUGCUCGAGUGGCGAACGGGUGAGUAACACGUGAGUAACCUGCCCUUGACUUUGGGAUAACUUCAGGAAACUGGGGCUAAUACCGGAUAGGAGCUCCUGCUGCAUGGUGGGGGUUGGAAAGUUUCGGCGGUUGGGGAUGGACUCGCGGCUUAUCAGCUUGUUGGUGGGGUAGUGGCUUACCAAGGCUUUGACGGGUAGCCGGCCUGAGAGGGUGACCGGCCACAUUGGGACUGAGAUACGGCCCAGACUCCUACGGGAGGCAGCAGUGGGGAAUAUUGCACAAUGGGCGGAAGCCUGAUGCAGCAACGCCGCGGGCGGGAUGACGGCCUUCGGGUUGUAAACCGCUUUCGCCUGUGACGAAGCGUGAGUGACGGUAAUGGGUAAAGAAGCACCGGCUAACUACG
This 466-nucleotide ribosomal RNA is filed under the name uncultured bacterium. RNAcentral's name for it is "partial 16S ribosomal RNA". It matches the Rfam family "Bacterial small subunit ribosomal RNA", at positions 28 to 505 of the family's 1533-position model. The record is from RNAcentral.